GAUGAACGCUGGCGGCGUGCCUAAUACAUGCAAGUCGAGCGAACGGACGAGAAGCUUGCUUCUCUGAUGUUAGCGGCGGACGUGUGAGUAACACGUGGAUAACCUACCUAUAAGACUGUGAUAACUUCGGGAAACCGGAGCUAAUACCGGAUAAUAUUUUGAACCGCAUGGUUCAAAAGUGAAAGACGGUCUUGCUGUCACUUAUAGAUGGAUCCGCGCUGCAUUAGCUAGUUGGUAAGGUAACGGCUUACCAAGGCAACGAUGCAUAGCCGACCUGAGAGGGUGAUCGGCCACACUGGAACUGAGACACGGUCCAGACUCCUACGGGAGGCAGCAGUAGGGAAUCUUCCGCAAUGGGCGAAAGCCUGACGGAGCAACGCCGCGUGCGUGAUGAAGGUCUUCGGAUCGUAAAACUCUGUUAUUAGGGAAGAAAAGAUGUGUAAGUAACUGUGCAGAUAUUGACGGUACCUAAUCAGAAAGCCACGGCUAACUACGUG
Molecule: ribosomal RNA, 497 nt
Filed under: uncultured bacterium
Lineage: Bacteria
Description: partial 16S ribosomal RNA
Rfam family: Bacterial small subunit ribosomal RNA
Source: RNAcentral